CGUCUUCGGCGUUCGAAU
RNAcentral lists this small nuclear RNA (18 nucleotides) under Arabidopsis thaliana (thale cress). RNAcentral's name for it is "snRNA_16399". The record is from RNAcentral. Lineage: Eukaryota; Viridiplantae; Streptophyta; Magnoliopsida; Brassicales; Brassicaceae.